UACAGAGGGGGCAAGCGUUGUUCGGAUUCACUGGGCGUAAAGGGUGCGUAGGUGGCGAGGUAAGUCGGAUGUGAAAGCUCGGAGCUCAACUCCGAAAUGGCAUUGGAAACUACCUUGCUCGAGGGUUGGAGGGGGGACUGGAAUACUUGGUGUAGCAGUGAAAUGCGUAGAUAUCAAGUGGAACACCAGUGGCGAAGGCGAGUCCCUGGACAACUCCUGACACUGAAGCACGAAAGCUAGGGGAGCAAACAGG
Molecule: ribosomal RNA, 253 nt
Filed under: uncultured bacterium
Lineage: Bacteria
Description: partial 16S ribosomal RNA
Rfam family: Bacterial small subunit ribosomal RNA
Source: RNAcentral